AUUGAACGCUGGCGGCAUGCCUUACACAUGCAAGUCGAACGGCAGCACGGGUGCUUGCACCUGGUGGCGAGUGGCGAACGGGUGAGUAAUACAUCGGAACAUGUCCUGUAGUGGGGGAUAGCCCGGCGAAAGCCGGAUUAAUACCGCAUACGAUCCACGGAUGAAAGCGGGGGCCCUUCGGGCCUCGCGCUAUAGGGUUGGCCGAUGGCUGAUUAGCUAGUUGGUGGGGUAAAGGCCUACCAAGGCGACGCUCAGUAGCUGGUCUGAGAGGACGACCAGCCACACUGGGACUGAGACACGGCCCAGACUCCUACGGGAGGCAGCAGUGGGGAAUUUUGGACAAUGGGCGAAAGCCUGAUCCAGCAAUGCCGCGUGUGUGAAGAAGGCCUUCGGGUUGUAAAGCACUUUUGUCCGGAAAGAAAUCCUUGGCUCUAAUACAGUCGGGGGAUGACGGUACCGGAAGAAUAAGCACCGGCUAACUACGUG
This 486-nucleotide ribosomal RNA is filed under the name uncultured bacterium. RNAcentral's name for it is "partial 16S ribosomal RNA". It matches the Rfam family "Bacterial small subunit ribosomal RNA", at positions 30 to 507 of the family's 1533-position model. The record is from RNAcentral.